CCAGACUCCUACGGGAGGCAGCAGUGGGGAAUAUUGCACAAUGGGGGAAACCCUGAUGCAGCGACGCCGCGUGAGUGAAGAAGUAUUUCGGUAUGUAAAGCUCUAUCAGCAGGGAAGAAAAUGACGGUACCUGAUUAAGAAGCCCCAGCUAACUACGUGCCAGCAGCCGCGGUAAUACGUAGGGGGCAAGCGUUAUCCGGAUUUACUGGGUGUAAAGGGAGCGUAGACGGCAUAGCAAGUCUGAAGUGAAAGCCCGAGGCUCAACCAUGGGACUGCUUUGGAAACUGUUAAGCUAGAGUGCUGGAGAGGUAAGCGGAAUUCCUAGUGUAGCGGUGAAAUGCGUAGAUAUUAGGAAGAACACCAGUGGCGAAGGCGGCUUACUGGACAGUAACUGACGUUGAGGCUCGAAAGCGUGGGGAGCAAACAGGAUUAGAUACCCCUGUACC
RNAcentral lists this ribosomal RNA (446 nucleotides) under uncultured bacterium. RNAcentral's name for it is "bacterial SSU rRNA". It matches the Rfam family "Bacterial small subunit ribosomal RNA", at positions 331 to 794 of the family's 1533-position model. The record is from RNAcentral.